AAUAAAAUAUUUUAUUAUGGUAAUGAAAUUUUAUUUUAAUUUUUUUUUUACAUUUAAUAAUUUUAAAUUAAUAAAAAUUUUAGAAAAAAUAAAUUUAAUAAAUUCUAAGUAAUUAAUAUUUUUAUUUAAUUAAUGUUUGAAUAAGAAAUAAUUUAAAGAAUUGAUAAAAUUUGUGCCAGCAAUCGCGGUUAUACAAAUAAUUCUAUUAAAAUUUAUUAAAAAUUAAGUAUUUAAAAAAAAUUAUAAAAAUAAUUAAUUUUAAAAAAUUAGGUGAAAUUUUUUUUUAAAAGUUAAAUUUUAUUUUAUUUUUAAAUUUUAAAUAAAUUUAAUUAAAAAACUAGGAUUAGAUACCCUAUUAUUUAAUAUAAAAAAUAUAAUUUUUAGGUAGUAAAAGAAAUUUUUUAAAAAAUAUUCUUAAAACUUAAAUAAUUUGGCGGUAUUUUAGACUAUUUAAAGGAACUUGUUAAUUAAAUGAUAAUCCACAUUUUACCUUACUUAAUUUAUUAAUUUGUAUAUCGUUGUCAUCAGAAUAUUUUAAAAGAAUUAAAUAAUUUUCUAAAUUUAAGUAAUUUUAAUAUGUCAAAUCAAGGUGCAGUUUAUAUUUAAGUUUUAAAAUGAGUUACAAUAAUUUUUAUUUAUGAAUUAUAAAUUUAAAAAGUUUUUAUGAAAUUGGAUUUAAAAGUAAAAUUAUAUAAUAAAAAUAGUUUGAUUUUAGCUCUAAAAUAUGCACAUAUCGCCCGUCGCUCUCGUUAUAUUUUUAUAAAAUGAGAUAAGUCGUAACAUAGUAGAUGUAUUGGAAAAUGCCUCUAGAAAAA
This 815-nucleotide non-coding RNA is filed under the name Thienemanniella curva. Lineage: Eukaryota; Metazoa; Arthropoda; Insecta; Diptera; Chironomidae. The record is from RNAcentral.